GUGCGAUGACUGAUUUGGAUAAGUUUCGGCUGAUAAUUAUUGAUGCCAACUUUUGAAUAUUGCUGAGCAC
Molecule: small nucleolar RNA, 70 nt
Filed under: Caenorhabditis remanei
Lineage: Eukaryota; Metazoa; Nematoda; Chromadorea; Rhabditida; Rhabditidae
Description: Caenorhabditis snoRNA ceN108
Rfam family: Caenorhabditis snoRNA ceN108
Source: Rfam by way of RNAcentral